Molecule: long non-coding RNA, 641 nt
Filed under: Physcomitrium patens
Lineage: Eukaryota; Viridiplantae; Streptophyta; Bryopsida; Funariales; Funariaceae
Description: long non-coding RNA (PPAT_LNC011417)
Source: RNAcentral
CUAAAAUAGAAAUUUUAAUAAAAUAUUAAAAUAUAAAUCUUAAUUAAAUCCUAAUCAAAUCCUAAUCAAAUCUUAAAUAAAUGUGAAUCAAAUUCUAAUCACACCCUAACCAAAUCCUAGUCAAAUCUUAACCAAAUCCUAACCAAACUCUAGUCAAAUCCUAACCAAACCCUAAUAAAUCCUAAAUAAAUCCUAGUCAAAUCCUAAUAAAUCCUAACCAAACCUUAAUCAAAUCUCAAAUAAAUCUUGAUCAAAUCCUAGUCAAAUAUUAAUCAAAUCCUAAUCAAAUCCUAAUCAAACUUAAGUCAAAUUCCAACCAAAUUUUAAUCAAUCCUAAAUAAAUCCUAGUCAAAUCCUAACAAAUCCUAACCAAAUCCUAAUCAAACCUUAAACAUACUCUAACCAAAACGUAAAUAAUCCAAGUAAUUCUUAUAGCAGAUUUAAACCUCAAUAUUUUAUAAAUGAACCAUUGAUUUUAAUUCAAAUUUUUCAUACCUCUUCACAAUUAAAUUGACUACAAGCACAAAAGUUUUGAAGAAGAUCAAACUCACCAAAAAGAUGAUCAAUCCUAAUAUUUGCUUGGAUGUUGGUUGGCCUCCUUCUUCAAUCUCAAUGUUGAAUUUUCAGCAUUAAUAUCUCCU